RNAcentral lists this ribosomal RNA (466 nucleotides) under uncultured bacterium. Its description in RNAcentral is "bacterial SSU rRNA". It matches the Rfam family "Bacterial small subunit ribosomal RNA", at positions 29 to 506 of the family's 1533-position model. The record is from RNAcentral.
AUGAACGCUGGCGGCGUGCUUAACACAUGCAAGUCGAACGAUGAAGCUGGAGCUUGCUCUGGUGGAUUAGUGGCGAACGGGUGAGUAACACGUGAGUAACCUGCCCUUGACUCUGGGAUAAGCGUUGGAAACGACGUCUAAUACCGGAUACGACCUUCGGAGGCAUCUCCUGGGGGUGGAAAGAAUUUUGGUCAAGGAUGGACUCGCGGCCUAUCAGGUAGUUGGUGAGGUAAUGGCUCACCAAGCCGACGACGGGUAGCCGGCCUGAGAGGGUGACCGGCCACACUGGGACUGAGACACGGGCCAGACUCCUACGGGAGGCAGCAGUGGGGAAUAUUGCACAACGGGCGAAAGCCUGAUGCAGCAACGCCGCGUGAGGGACGACGGCCUUCGGGUUGUAAACCUCUUUUAGUAGGGAAGAAGCGAAAGUGACGGUACCUGCAGAAAAAGCACCGGCUAACUACGU